Molecule: unclassified non-coding RNA, 822 nt
Filed under: Melitaea cinxia (Glanville fritillary)
Lineage: Eukaryota; Metazoa; Arthropoda; Insecta; Lepidoptera; Nymphalidae
Description: misc RNA ENSMCXG00005000506.1
Source: RNAcentral
UUUGCGGCAGUGAAUAUUUUUGUAUUUUGUGCAUUUCGUUUGAUCUUUUGGUUUUCUUUCACGACUUUCGCUACGCUUAACAACAACAGCAUAACAACAACACAACGACGUUUUUUACAUAUUAGUUGACAAUUCUCGCAGAGGAAGGUAUAUUAUGAUGAUAGGUGUAAUAAAUAAGACUGAUUGACUGGAUACGUACGACUUUAUUAUUUAGACUUUAGACUCAAAGACAUGACUCGACAUUACAUUAUUACGAACGAACAAGACAAAAAGAAGACAUAGACAAUAGAUAUAAUAUAACAGAUAAUAAAUUAAGGAUAUACAACAUCUCUCUUUUUAUAAAAUAAAGUUUACAUUUAAACUUUUAACUUAUACUGAAAACAAUACAUAACAUAUUAACACCACUACAAAUUUACAAAUUCAACUUAACUGGUUUCUUAAUUACUCUACCUGAUCUACUUUUAUUACAGUUCUCCUGGAAAUUGAUAUUCUUAUCUAAUUCUUUAUUAUUAGUAUCCAUCUGCCUGUUCCUCUGCUGACUAUCCCUUUCCUCAGAAUUGUUGGAUUGCAUCUCAUCAAACUUAUGACAACUAUCAUUACAAUUAAAUUUAAUUAAAAAUCUUUUCCUUCUAUAUCUUUUACCUUCAGCGUCUUCUAUUAUAUAUGAACGUUGACAAUCUAAUCUUUUAAUGACUUUUCCAGGAAGCCAAUCUGAGUUAGGCAUUUUUUUAAAAGUUAUAUAAUCUCCUGGCUGUAAUAAUGGUAAUUGUUUCUUAUUUCUAUCAUAGUAAAUUUUACUCCAAACACGAUUUUUCUCAAAAU